GACGAACGCUGGCGGCGUGCCUAAUACAUGCAAGUAGAACGCUGAAGGAGGAGCUUGCUUCUCUGGAUGAGUUGCGAACGGGUGAGUAACGCGUAGGUAACCUGCCUGGUAGCGGGGGAUAACUAUUGGAAACGAUAGCUAAUACCGCAUCAGAUUGACUCUUGCAUGAUAGUCAGUUAAAAGGUGCAAUUGCAUCACUACCAGAUGGACCUGCGUUGUAUUCGCUAGUUGGUGGGGUAACGGCUCACCAAGGCGACGAUACAUAGCCGACCUGAGAGGGGGGUCGGCCACACUGGGACUGAGACACGGCCCAGACUCCUACGGGAGGCAGCAGGAGGGAAUCUUCGGCAAUGGACGGAAGUCUGACCCAGGAACGCCGCGUGAGUGAAGAAGGUCUUCGGAUCGUAAAGCUCUGUUGUAAGAGAAGAACGAGUGUGAGAGUGGAAAGUUCACACUGUGACGGUAUCUAACCAGAAAGGGACGGCUAACUACGUG
RNAcentral lists this ribosomal RNA (495 nucleotides) under uncultured bacterium. Its description in RNAcentral is "partial 16S ribosomal RNA". It matches the Rfam family "Bacterial small subunit ribosomal RNA", at positions 28 to 507 of the family's 1533-position model. The record is from RNAcentral.